CGGUAACAUUGGUGCUUGCAUCAGAUGACGAGUGGCGCACGGGUGAGUAACGCGUAUGCAAUCUGCCUUUAACUGAGGGAUAGCCCAGAGAAAUUUGGAUUAAUACCUCAUAAUAUUGUUUUUCAGCAUUUUAAAACAAUUAAAACUUCGGUGGUUAAAGAUGAGCAUGCGUCCUAUUAGCUUGUUGGUAAGGUAACGGCUUACCAAGGCAACGAUAGGUAGGGGGCCUGAAAGGGUGAUCCCCCACACUGGUACUGAGACACGGACCAGACUCCUACGGGAGGCAGCAGUGAGGAAUAUUGCGCAAUGGAGGAAACUCUGACGCAGCCAUGCCGCGUGCAGGAAGACGGCCCUACGGGUUGUAAACUGCUUUUAUAUAGGAAGAAACCCCGAUACGUGUAUCGGCUUGACGGUACUAUAUGAAUAAGGACCGGCUAACUCCGUGCCAGCAGCCGCGGUAAUACGGAGGGUCCAAGCGUUAUCCGGAUUUAUUAGGUUUAAAGGGUCCGCAGGCGGGAUUUUAAGUCAGUGGUGAAAGCCUACAGCUCAACUGUAGAACUGCCAUUGAAACUGAUAUCCUUGAGUGUGGUUGAAGUGGGCGGAAUAUGUCAUGUAGCGGUGAAAUGCUUAGAUAUGACAUAGAACACCAAUUGCGAAGGCAGCUCACUAAGCCAUUACUAACGCUGAGGGACGAAAGCGUGGGGAGCGAACAGGAUUAGAUACCCUGGUAGUCCACGCCGUAAACGAUGAUCACUCGUUGCUAGCGAUAUACUGUUAGUGACCAAGCGAAAGUGUUAAGUGAUCCACCUGGGAAGUACGUUCGCAAGAAUGAAACUCAAGGAAUUGACGGGGGCCCGCACAAGCGGUGGAGCAUGUGGUUUAAUUCGAUGAUACGCGAGGAACCUUACCAGGGCUUAAAUGCAGAAUGACAGAUUU
RNAcentral lists this ribosomal RNA (936 nucleotides) under uncultured Bacteroidota bacterium. RNAcentral describes it as "bacterial SSU rRNA". It matches the Rfam family "Bacterial small subunit ribosomal RNA", at positions 67 to 1002 of the family's 1533-position model. The record is from RNAcentral. Lineage: Bacteria; Pseudomonadati; Bacteroidota.